RNAcentral lists this ribosomal RNA (301 nucleotides) under uncultured bacterium. RNAcentral describes it as "partial 16S ribosomal RNA". It matches the Rfam family "Bacterial small subunit ribosomal RNA", at positions 509 to 807 of the family's 1533-position model. The record is from RNAcentral.
CAGUCGCCGCGGUAAUACAGAGGGUGCGAGCGUUAAUCGGAUUUACUGGGCGUAAAGCGUGCGUAGGCGGCUUCUUAAGUUGGAUGUGAAAUCCCUGAGCUUAACUUAGGAAUUGCAUUCGAUACUGGGAAGCUAGAGUAUGGGAGAGGAUGGUAGAAUUCCAGGUGUAGCGGUGAAAUGCGUAGAGAUCUGGAGGAAUACCGAUGGCGAAGGCAGCCAUCUGGCCUAAUACUGACGCUGAGGUACGAAAGCAUGGGGAGCAAACAGGAUUAGAUACCCGCGUAGUCCCUGUCUCUUAUAC